GGCCUUAUGGUCUAGUCGCAUGAUUCCUCGUUUGGGUCAUCUUUAAAGUGUUCACUCGUGUCGAGGAGGUCCUGGGUUCAAUUCCCAGUGAGGCCC
Molecule: transfer RNA, 96 nt
Filed under: Armillaria luteobubalina
Lineage: Eukaryota; Fungi; Basidiomycota; Agaricomycetes; Agaricales; Physalacriaceae
Description: tRNA-Pro
Rfam family: tRNA
About the family: Transfer RNA (tRNA) molecules are approximately 80 nucleotides in length. Their secondary structure includes four short double-helical elements and three loops (D, anti-codon, and T loops).
Source: RNAcentral